UGCUUAUCCAGAGCGGCUGAGGGAUCUGGCCCUGUGAAGCCCGGCAACCUGCUUAACAUGCAAGGUGCCAACUCCAGCAAUUCGCGUUACAUGCGUUUUGGAAGAUAAGGG
RNAcentral lists this non-coding RNA (111 nucleotides) under Virgibacillus sp. Its description in RNAcentral is "SAM-I sequence". It matches the Rfam family "SAM riboswitch aptamer (S box leader)". Rfam says of the family: The SAM riboswitch is found upstream of a number of genes which code for proteins involved in methionine or cysteine biosynthesis in Gram-positive bacteria. The record is from RNAcentral. RNAcentral also lists the same sequence under 1 other name. Lineage: Bacteria; Bacillati; Bacillota; Bacilli; Caryophanales; Bacillaceae.